Hyla sarda is the source of this 875-nucleotide long non-coding RNA. RefSeq lists it as uncharacterized. The transcript is spliced from 3 exons. NCBI's taxonomy places the organism in Eukaryota, Metazoa, Chordata, Amphibia, Anura, Hylidae. The record is from RefSeq and is a predicted model, not a curated record.
AUCAAAUGUUUGGUAAAAAUUAGAUUUUUUUGGGGGGGGCUUAGAGGCAGCUUUCUGUUGGAGUAACCUCCCACCAUUGCUCUAGCUGCACGAUCUCGGAUAUCAUGGUCAAGUCACAAUCACUUGAGAUCUGACUGGGAAAGCCAGUCGUAGCUAUAAUGAGUUAACCACCGUGCAGUCAUUUGGAGGCAAGUACCGUAUGUCCGUGGUCAGAUUCAGAAGCCAUGUGCAAGCGCAAAUCCAUUUCUCAGUCGAAACCGAGACCUUAAAGUUGUCAAAAACGAACAUCCAAGGAAGGCAGAAGCCCCAUAAUGAAGACACAUUCUAGUGCUGGACGCUCUGCGGUGUAGAGGUUCUCCGACCUCCAGAGUGUAAUAUUUUAUGCAUCGUGUAACAUAUGUAGACGUUGGGUUCUUUACUCCCCGUGCGUUUCGUCUGUGGGAUAUUGGUGCAGAUCCAAACGCUGAUCCGUAAAUGAGCUCCUGGAGAUGGCUUUAUCUCCCAGAUUUCCCUGUCCUGCUCUAUAUCUCUCCAGCUUUGUAUCAAAUUUCUGGACGUUUUCAUCCCACACGGUGAGGAAAGAAGAUUGCUGGAAUUCCUGCCUCCCUGCACGGACAAAAGCAGAAACUGCUGAACGGAAAAGCCAUUCCGCUGGUUUCUUUUCUGAUCUGUGAAAUGGAAAAAUUAUGAGACACUUGAAAAAAUCACAUGACCACGGAAUAUGAAGAUGUUUUGUUACAAGUCUUAUCUGGAAGCAGCUGUUUAACAUUGACGUCUUCAGCUUGGGUUGGUGACGGACAGUGCCAGUGGCUCUACAUUCCCUCUUUUCUCACCAAGUAAAUGGAUGGACCCAAAAAAUGGACGGCCAUCUCAAC